This 324-nucleotide ribosomal RNA is filed under the name uncultured Verrucomicrobiota bacterium. RNAcentral's name for it is "bacterial SSU rRNA". It matches the Rfam family "Bacterial small subunit ribosomal RNA", at positions 29 to 351 of the family's 1533-position model. The record is from RNAcentral. Lineage: Bacteria; Pseudomonadati; Verrucomicrobiota.
AACGAACGCUGGCGGCGUGUUUAAGACAUGCAAGUCGCACGGGGCAAAUUGAGUAGCAAUACGAGAUUUGUUCAGUGGCGCACGGGUGAGUAACACGUGAAUUACAUGCCCUUCAGUGGGGGAUAGCCCAGGGAAACUUGGAUUAAUACCCCAUGGUCUCGCAAGAGUAAAGGUGGCCGCAAGGCUGUCGCUGAGGGAUUGGUUCGCGCCCUAUCAGCUUGUUGGUGAGGUAACGGCUCACCAAGGCUACGACGGGUACCUGGUCUGAGAGGACGAUCAGGCACACUGGAACUGAGACACGGUCCAGACACCUACGGGUGGCUG